This 490-nucleotide long non-coding RNA is filed under the name Daucus carota (carrot). RNAcentral describes it as "long non-coding RNA (DCAR_LNC004911)". The record is from RNAcentral. Lineage: Eukaryota; Viridiplantae; Streptophyta; Magnoliopsida; Apiales; Apiaceae.
GCAGAAUUCAGCUUUAAAUAUGAACAAGAAAUCAGUUUUACCUACAACUAAAUCAACUGGAUUGUCAACUUUCACAAACCCUAGAUUACCCAUGUCCAUGUCAACCUCCACUCCAAGAUCGUCCAAGCCAGUAUCAAACGCCACUCCAAGAUCGUCCAAGCCAGUAUCAAACUCCACUCCAAGAUCUUCAAAGCUGGUAUCAACCUUUACUCCAAGAUCGUCUAAACCAGUAUCAACUUCCACUCCAAGAUCGUCAAAGCCGGUAUCAACUUCCACUCCAAUAUUGUCUAAGCCGUUAUCAACCUCCACUCCAAGAUCAUCUAAGGCCUUAUCAACCUCCACUCCAAGAUCGUCUAAGCUGGUACCAACCUCCACUCCAAGAUCGUCAAAGUCGGUACCAGCCUCCACUCUAAGACCGUCUAAGACAGGGUCAGCAGCCACCUCCAGGUUGUAUAAGCCACUCUCGACAUCAAGUCCCGCAUUACCCAAG